UUUGAGUUGUAGUAACGUUGCAUGCACUGAAUUUUGAGUUAUUGGAUGUUGCCGCUGCUUUUGUUCCUUCUCCUCUCCAUCUUCCGGUUUUUUAGUUUCUACUUCGAGGAGAAAGGAGAGAAUUGCAAACUUGAGAUGCAGGGAUGGAGCAUAGGAAGCUCAUAUUAAAAAUUCUACCCAUUUUCUGGAGACAUUUCUAUGCUGUUAUACUGCAGGUUGAACUGAAUGAGCUGAAAAUCCAACUCUCUUCGAGCUUAAUGGAGAUAAAACAAACAACAAGCUACCGAAUAUGCUGGAUUACCUUAGAGUGUACAUAUCUCCUUUCUCGAAAUUGGAACUGACUAACACGUAUCAAUGGUGGUGGUUAUCAAUAACGAAGAAGUAAGAAGGAUUGUAUGCUGAUUUGGAAGUUUUUGAUCGCCUCAAUGUUCUAGAUUUACAGGUAUAGAUGUGUCAUUUUCUUUUUAACUUGCUUCAAACAAUUUUUGCUUUAACCACAUGGGAUCAAUUAUCGAGUAUUAAACAACUCCAGAGAUGAAUAUGAAGAUCACUAUUUACUGAUUUUAAACCUCUUAUUUAAUGGAACAAAGACUGGAGGUAGUAUAUGCAUCCUAAUUGUUCCAAAAUACAUCCUAUUCUGCUAUCUUGCUAUGUCGGUAUUCUAUAAGUACUGUUAAUUCCCUUUCACAAUAUUUUUUUCACAUGACCUAUUCUUUAUGUAGUUUUUGCAAAUUUUUGUGUUUCAUGGUUACACAAUGCAGAUAAGGAGACGGCCUUACAAAAGACAAGAAGCAAACAGAUGCAGUAGCUAAUAUAUCCAAAACAUACUUUGGCAUCAAUAUAUCUGCAAAUAUGUAUAUUUGUGUGGUAUCUUCAACAUGUCUGUAAAUACGAUACCUGAUGCAACUUUUAUUGAAUGUUACUCUAUUCGUUCUAUUAUGGCAUGUGCCACAUAUUAACCAUCUGAUAGCUUCAAUCCAAUUAGCUUUAAGUUUCUCCAUGUGCUAAAUUUUUGUUCUUUUUUGUUCUUUACUGCUAUCUUUCAUGACCAAAUGACUAUGCAAAACAUCCAAAAUUGACUACCGCUUGAAAAUGUAAAUUGUUGCCAUCCCCAUCUAGUCAUUGGAAAAAAGGCAACUGCUUUUUUCUCAAAUUCUAGCUUUGCAUCAAGAGUACUCAAGCAGUGAAAAUAAUAUCAAGUUUUAUAUUAUCCGAAUCAGGUUUGAUUGUUUUAUUUUUAUUAUUUUGCAUUUAAAUUUGUUAUUAUUUUUCUUCAUAGUAUAUAUUGUCUUUUUAGUUAUUUUUUAGAGUUUAAAUAUAUCAACAUGAAAGUAUGAAUUUGGAUAUUUGAAACUCCAAAAAAAAAAAAAAAAAAAAAAAGAGAUUGAAACGUUUUUAAUACAAUCUCAAAAUGGAGCCCUUGAUAAAUUUUAAUAAACAAUAAAAAUUCUACAAAAAAAAAAUGAAAGAAUUUAAUGUUGACGAACAAAUUGAUGAU
Long non-coding RNA from Lycium ferocissimum, 1498 nucleotides. RefSeq lists it as uncharacterized. The record is from RefSeq and is a predicted model, not a curated record. Lineage: Eukaryota; Viridiplantae; Streptophyta; Magnoliopsida; Solanales; Solanaceae. The transcript is spliced from 4 exons.